RNAcentral lists this non-coding RNA (29 nucleotides) under Cricetulus griseus (Chinese hamster). Lineage: Eukaryota; Metazoa; Chordata; Mammalia; Rodentia; Cricetidae. The record is from RNAcentral.
AGGCUGGAUAAGAUAAGAAAAAAUGAGGA